This 2794-nucleotide unclassified non-coding RNA is filed under the name Hevea brasiliensis (rubber tree). The record is from RNAcentral. Lineage: Eukaryota; Viridiplantae; Streptophyta; Magnoliopsida; Malpighiales; Euphorbiaceae.
GUUUGAUCAUACUAAUAAUUAUAAAAAAAAAGAGAAAAAUUGAACUCAAUGAGCUAGAGGGGAAGUGCUAGGACUACAUUUGAAUGUACAUUGGUGGGAACUACCAUUUGAACACUAAAUCAGUUCUGCUUCCUAACCUCAGAAGAAAAAGAAGAACAAAGUCAGUCACUAAAUCAGUUCUACUUCCUAACCUCAAUGACUGAUCACCCAUGACUACACACUUCGAUUUUCUUCUCUUUCACUAAGAUUAUAAAUCAUUCCCAGGACUUGGGGAUACAUACAACAGAGACUGUUCUACAAAUAAAAGAAUUGAAGCAAAGCUGCAGAUCAAAUCUACAUAUUUACAUCAUUUUCCUCCUUGAUCAAAUCCAAUGACUUUACUUCAGCCAUAAGCUGGCUAUACUCACGUUCAACUUCUUCUAGCUCAUUUCUGAGCUGUGUCGCCUUUUUAUUGAGUUCUUCUUUCCUCUUCUCAAAUUCCAGGCAUUGUGCUCGGAGUUUCUUGUUUUCCUGCAUCAAGUUUGCAGCUUCCUGAUAUUUUGACUGAGUUGCUGUAUUGAUAGGAUGGACCUGUGCUUCCAAAGUCUGUUCUGAAACAAUUGCAUUGGCCCGUGAUUGUCCAUGCUUCUUCACACUUUUAAGUUCCACCAAAUCAUCAGAAUGUUUCCUUUUUGUACAUAAUCCUAUCCCGACACGAUUAUUAUUUCAAAACAGAUAAGUAAGUUCAGUGAUGAUAGCAGUUAACUUUUAUCAAAACACGUGAAGUAAAUAUAAAAUUGACUUCUGUUUACAUAACUUCUUUCAACUGAAAGGUCCUACCAGUGGCAGGCAAUGCUUUUGCACUAGCAACAACAGGGGAACUUGGACUAAACUUGACAGGCUUUGUUUUACCAUUUGCCAUAACAAGAGGUGAGUCCUGUUUAGGCUGUGGUGCUGGAGGCUUUUUUUUGACCUGGUACCCAAUUAGUCCACAGUGAUAAUCCCAGUACUCCCAUGUCAUCUCCUUCAACCGACCUUCAAGUUUUUGCAAAAGGGAAGUUCUCUCAAAAUCUUGUUUGUUAUGUGUUGGUUCAAUAAAAUUUGCUUCCAGAACACCAACCACCCCUCUACCCCUACUGUCUGCAUAGCUCACAACUGGCCAAAAUGGCAAUAUUAAACGAUUCUUGUGGUAGACAUUGAAACCGUGAACACAGACAUGUGGAGCUUCUUUUAAAAACCCAAUUGUAGUUAUGACUUGACCCUCUACACAUCCACCGCAUUGAGGUCUAUACAAGAUGAAUUCUUGGAAUUUAAGAUCAUCAGCAAGAUUAUGAUGCUCAACCAGUCGUCCACGCAAUAUUAUUUGGAAAGUAGCAGGUAUCCGCAAGUACAAGAUGGACAAAUACACCCGAAGAGAGUAAUGUAACCGGUUAGCAAUGUGCUGUUCAUUAACCAUCCUCCAAGCAGGAAUUGUGUCAACUUUUUUUAUAUCCCCACAAAUACGAAUAUCCUCAGGAUCCGUAUCGAAGUCUAGCUCCACAAUCCCAUCAUCAUUCAACCAUAAAUUAUAGAUAAUAACUUUAGUGCCAUGUGACUCUAUGUCAUCAAAUUGCUUUAGAAGCUCAACUUCUGUUGAAUAUGGAGACCACUGCAAUAUCAUAGAAAGAUUAGACAUAAAAUGUUCUUUUCCACAACGAUGAGAAAUUUCCAAAUUCCCAGUCGUAGUGUUGAACUCAUAAUCCACCAUUGGCACUACUAUCCUGUCAAGUCCCGUUAGUGACAAAAAUGUAUAAGAGAGAAGACCAAUGCUUUGUGUCAAUGCCCUCCCAUGCAAGUGGCGACUGAAAACAAUAACAUCAGCCCCAAGUCUCAUAGUGCUAGUCUUAAAGCCAUUACCAUAUUGUCCAAUAGCAGAUUUGUUUUUUUUAUCUGAGAACCCAAAACUCAUGCAACGUCGCAUUGCUUCUGGAUCCAUUCCGCCACCAUUAUCAUGAAUUAACAGUGCUGGACUCCCAUCUCUUGGAUUUAAAGUUUUAUCUACAAUGACAAAAGUGGCUCCAUUGUGGAUCUCAUCAAUUGCAUUAUCAAGCAGUUCUGCUAUGGCACCAAAUGCCCAUUUGUGUGAUGUGGCAUUGGAAUGAAGAAACAUAGGGUGGACAUGGAGAUAGUUUUUGCCAUUUUGAAAUGUGACCUUGGAACCAAGACCAUCAUCAUAGUUCCCAGCUUUCCAAAAUUGACGACAAAGCGGAGCUGGACAUAUGGUUGACGCAAAAGAAAUGCCAGUGUCAUCUACUGGAGAUUGUCCUUGUUCCAAUACACUUGAGCUGCUUUGACCGGUACUUAAUGCAGUUGAGCUCCUAUUUUCUUCAAAUUCUUGUCUCCCAGAUUGGGUCAUGGAGUUUCUAUGCUCAUCCAAUCGGGCAUUUUGGGGAUUUUUCCCUUGCAACCCGCACCCAACAAAAUCUGACUCCAAUUUAAUGGCUUUCAUAUUCACCAAUAAUUCGAGAGGCAAGCUUCGUGGAGGACAGCAGCAGCACAACGAUUUCGAGAGCAGCAACACAAAAACUCACAGUCGCGCCAUGGCUACUAGAGCCAAAGGCCAGACAGAGGGCAGGGACUCGUUCACCACUCGGCUACGGAAUCGACACCCAAGCCAAAGAAUCCGAGACGCUGAGGGGAAGGGAAAUAACCGUGGAUCAGCAGUGACUUAGGUUUCUUCCGUGCACAAACGUCAAAAUGCUUGUUUGGUUGCGGAUUAAGAAAAAGAACCAACAAGAAAUUGUUCGGAUUGAAGGCAACUCCCCGAAGCCACCAU